UGUAGAAAGAGAAGUUGUGCCAUAUGCCUGCGACAUCUGCUCCGUUGGGUGGACUGUAUCCUGGUCUUAAUGACUGAACCAUGUUAAUGAAGUGUGGGUUCUCAAUCAUACAGAAAGGAG
This is a long non-coding RNA of Gopherus evgoodei (Goodes thornscrub tortoise), 120 nucleotides long. RefSeq lists it as uncharacterized. The transcript is spliced from 3 exons. The record is from RefSeq and is a predicted model, not a curated record. NCBI's taxonomy places the organism in Eukaryota, Metazoa, Chordata, Testudines, Testudinidae.